CCCCGCCGAUCCCGGGCAGGGCGCCCCGGCCCCCGGCGGGCGGGGGGACGCCGCCCCGGCAAGGCCGGGCCCCCCGGAGCUCGCCAGCCAGGCGACACCGCCGGGGAGGGGGCUGCUCCCACCAGCGCGGCCUUCCCCGCUCCGGGAGCUGGGAGGGCGCCCCCCGACACCCCCCGCCCCCGGGGGCCCCCCGCCCCGCGGCCCCAGCCCAGCGGGACCAAGCCGCAGACCCCGGCCAGCGCGGACCCCCCUGUCGAAGAGGACGCGGAGGAGAAGGUGACUGCGCGGGCCGGGCCCACCGGCUGCCCCGCCGCAGCGCUCCAGCUCAGCACGGGGGGGUUACAUUCUCCUGUAGGAGACGCACAGAACAACGCCCUGCUGCAAGCACUAGAAAAUACCUGAAAAAUAUUUCUAUUUUCCUGGCACAAUGCGACGAAGAUCUACGGUGAAAGAGACAGUAUUUGUGAGCGAUGGACACGGUACAAUCUUCAUGCAGAAAAGGGGAUUACAGGACUCCUCUUAGUUUGCUACAAUAUCUGCAGCACUGCUCUAAAGGGUUUCAAGACACCAGCACCAGGGACUCGCGCAUUUCCCAUUUGUGCCGUUCAGACACAGGUCUCGAUCUCAAUGAAUUGGCUCAGGCGUCGGCCAGGAUGCUCAUGAGAGGAGGAGGGAAACCAAAACCCCCAAACACAAUGAAGAGCUCGAAAUCUCUGGAAAUAAGUCCAUUUCUCAUGUAGUCCUAUCUCAGCAUUUUCAUUUUGGAUUUAGGAUUUUAUUGCCAAGCCCUUUUGUAAUUGCCUCCUGCCUGCAACUUUGCUCUUAUUUCUUUCUAUUCCUCCAACUUAAAACCACUGCAUGCUCCUGCUCUAGAUGUCAAAAUAUCCCUCAUAACCCUCCCAUACAGAGUUCUUGCCUCACCCCAAGCCUCCUGGAAUGCACUCAUGGCAGGAGCUUUCCCACCACUGAAGCACUAAGGCAAUACUUAAAACAUCAAGUACAUUUCAACAGUAACAAAAAAUGAUACUUUGAAGAGCUAUAAAAUUCUAUAGAACAAAAGCCAACAUGAACGCUUUCUUCUUUUAAUAAACAAUAGAGACAUUUAAAGACA
Tyto alba (common barn owl) is the source of this 1111-nucleotide long non-coding RNA. RefSeq lists it as uncharacterized. The record is from RefSeq and is a predicted model, not a curated record. The transcript has 2 exons. Lineage: Eukaryota; Metazoa; Chordata; Aves; Strigiformes; Tytonidae.